GUGGGGAAUAUUGCACAAUGGGCGAAAGCCUGAUGCAGCAACGCCGCGUGAGGGACGACGGCCUUCGGGUUGUAAACCUCUUUUAGUAGGGAAGAAGCGAAAGUGACGGUACCUGCAGAAAAAGCACCGGCUAACUACGUGCCAGCAGCCGCGGUAAUACGUAGGGUGCAAGCGUUAUCCGGAAUUAUUGGGCGUAAAGAGCUCGUAGGCGGUCUGUCGCGUCUGCUGUGAAAACUGGAGGCUCAACCUCCAGCCUGCAGUGGGUACGGGCAGGCUAGGGUGCGGUAGGGGAGAUUGGAAUUCCUGGUGUAGCGGUGGAAUGCGCAGAUAUCAGGAGGAACACCGAUGGCGAAGGCAGAUCUCUGGGCCGUAACUGACGCUGAGGAGCGAAAGCGUGGGGAGCGAACAGGAUUAGAUACCCCGGUAGUCC
RNAcentral lists this ribosomal RNA (430 nucleotides) under uncultured bacterium. RNAcentral describes it as "bacterial SSU rRNA". It matches the Rfam family "Bacterial small subunit ribosomal RNA", at positions 354 to 796 of the family's 1533-position model. The record is from RNAcentral.